This 253-nucleotide ribosomal RNA is filed under the name uncultured bacterium. Its description in RNAcentral is "partial 16S ribosomal RNA". It matches the Rfam family "Bacterial small subunit ribosomal RNA", at positions 524 to 776 of the family's 1533-position model. The record is from RNAcentral.
UACGUAGGGUGCGAGCGUUGUCCGGAAUUACUGGGCGUAAAGAGCUCGUAGGUGGUUUGUCGCGUUGUUCGUGAAAACUAGGGGCUUAACCUCUGGCGUGCGGGCGAUACGGGCAGACUGGAGUACUGCAGGGGAGACUGGAAUUCCUGGUGUAGCGGUGGAAUGCGCAGAUAUCAGGAGGAACACCGGUGGCGAAGGCGGGUCUCUGGGCAGUAACUGACGCUGAGGAGCGAAAGCGUGGGGAGCGAACAGG